Molecule: ribosomal RNA, 168 nt
Filed under: Norfolkia thomasi (Norfolk's triplefin)
Lineage: Eukaryota; Metazoa; Chordata; Actinopteri; Blenniiformes; Tripterygiidae
Description: partial 12S rRNA
Source: RNAcentral
CACCGCGGUUAUACGAGAGGCCCAAGUUGACAGAUACUCGGCGUAAAGAGUGGUUAAAAUAAUAAUUUAACUAAAGCCGAACUCUUUCAAAACUGUUAUACGUGUUCGAAAGAAGAAGCUCAGUAACGAAGGUAGCUUUAACAUUUUGAAGCCACGAAAGCUGAGGAA